This 200-nucleotide ribosomal RNA is filed under the name uncultured bacterium. Its description in RNAcentral is "partial 16S ribosomal RNA". It matches the Rfam family "Bacterial small subunit ribosomal RNA", at positions 8 to 217 of the family's 1533-position model. The record is from RNAcentral.
AGAGUUUGAUCCUGGCUCAGGACUAACGCUGGCGGCGUGCCUAACACAUGCAAGUCGAACGAAGUAGCAAUACUUAGUGGCAGACGGGUGAGUAACACGUAGUCAACCUACCUUUUAGUGGGGGAUAACUAGCCGAAAGGUUAGCUAAUACCGCAUGCGAUCGCCGAGUGGCAUCACUUGGCGAUGAAAGAAGCAAUUCG